UCGAGCGGCAGCGCGGGGCAACCUGGCGGCGAGCGGCGAACGGGUGAGUAAUGCAUCGGAACAUGUCCAUGUCGUGGGGGAUAGCCCGGCGAAAGCCGGAUUAAUACCGCAUAAGCCCGAGAGGGGAAAGCCGGGGACCGCAAGGCCUGGCGCGAUUGGGUUGGCCGAUGUCCGAUUAGCUAGUUGGCGGGGUAAGAGCCCACCAAGGCGAUGAUCGGUAGCUGGUCUGAGAGGAUGAUCAGCUACACUGGGACUGAGACACGGCCCAGACUCCUACGGGAGGCAGCAGUGGGGAAUUUUGGACAAUGGGGGCAACCCUGAUCCAGCCAUUCCGCGUGAGUGAAGAAGGCCUUCGGGUUGUAAAGCUCUUUUGUCCGGAACGAAACGGUGAGCGUGAAUAUCGCUCGCUACUGACGGUACCGGAAGAAUAAGCACCGGCUAACUACGUGCCAGCAGCCGCGGUAAUACGUAGGGUGCGAGCGUUAAUCGGAAUUACUGGGCGUAAAGCGUGCGCAGGCGGUUUUGUAAGCCAGAUGUGAAAUCCCCGGGCUUAACCUGGGAAUGGCAUUUGGGACUGCAAGGCUGGAGUUUGGCAGAGGAGACUGGAAUUCCCGGUGUAGCA
Molecule: ribosomal RNA, 622 nt
Filed under: uncultured bacterium
Lineage: Bacteria
Description: bacterial SSU rRNA
Rfam family: Bacterial small subunit ribosomal RNA
Source: RNAcentral